UACAGAGGGGGCAAGCGUUAUUCGGAAUUAUUGGGCGUAAAGGGCGCGUAGGCGGCCAUUCAAGUGACGGGUGAAAGCCCUCGGCUUAACCGAGGAACUGCCUGUCAGACUGGAUGGCUUGAGACCGGGAGAGGUGAGUGGAAUUCCCAGUGUAGCGGUGAAAUGCGUAGAUAUUGGGAGGAACACCAGUGGCGAAGGCGGCUGACUGGUCCGGUUCUGACGCUGAGGCGCGAAAGCGUGGGGAGCAAACAGG
Molecule: ribosomal RNA, 253 nt
Filed under: uncultured bacterium
Lineage: Bacteria
Description: partial 16S ribosomal RNA
Rfam family: Bacterial small subunit ribosomal RNA
Source: RNAcentral